Molecule: long non-coding RNA, 435 nt
Filed under: Manacus vitellinus (golden-collared manakin)
Lineage: Eukaryota; Metazoa; Chordata; Aves; Passeriformes; Pipridae
Description: lncRNA (ENSMVIG00005018983.1)
Source: RNAcentral
AGAAGUGCUUGACUUCAUAACCCUAGAGUUCUCUUAACUUAGCCUUUUUUGUCUGUAAUUGGCACUCAGGGGUCUCAGAAUGCAGAUCCUGAGGCAGGAAUGUCUCUGGAAUAAGGAGCUCUGGCCUUUCAUUGGAGAGAAUUCUGCGUGGAGGAGCUUUGAUGAUGGACCCUCAGCACCAAGCUGUGUGAUUCCACAGGACAUCUGGGGAAUCUUUGUUGAAGAUGUACCAGGUAUUAGUAGUUGUGAUGAAAGUUCUCACCUCUCCUGCCCCAUGGCUGCUUUCAGUUUCAGUUGAGUCCUGCUGCUCCAGCCCAAGCAGCUCCAAGUGCAGAUGCAAAGUGGGAUGGACGACUGCAAAUGCCUUUUCAGGAAGAGCUGAUUUGCACUGUAAAAAAAAAUAAAUAUAUAUAUAUAUCUAAAGAUGUGUUGGAA